CUGGCCGCUGUGCGGGAACUGGUCGCCAAGUACAAGCCGAGCACCUAUACAUAUCAGCUCCGGUAAAAAAAAACUUAUUCAGGAAAGCAGGCUGUUGACGAGAANCACCACCCCACGCGGCGGUGUUCCGGCCCGUUGAGCAGAGUAAUCUGAUGUGCCACGAGGCGACGUUCUGGCCGGCAGAACAGAGUAAUCCGAUGUGCCACGCUGCUCCAGUAUUUUUGGUGCCAGUAAUGCCGCAGGUCAUAAUCCACGAACCGACGGUGUUCAGUUCUAAGGUGGCCGUGGCAUGAGAAUUUUUAAGACACAAUCGAAUACGAAAUCACUUUUUACGUAACUAACGCCCUGUUUGGUUUCAAUAAGUCAGAUGACUUAUAAGUCAGAUGACUUAUAAGUCAGGUGAUUUAAAACCAGUGACUUAUAAGUCACGCCUGUUUGGUUGUCAUCUGACUUAUAAGUCACAUUUUCAUGCAAAAAUGGGUGACUUAUAAGUUUUAAGUUGGGGUGGAGCAACUUAUGACUUAUAAGUUGGGGUGACUUAUAAGUUGGGUCUAUUUGGCAAAAUAAGUCAUUUUUUGCACUUUUUAACUUAUAAGUUGAUGAUUUAUUUGGAACCAAACAGGGCCUAAAGUUUCACUCUUGUAUCGAUGUAGCUUUGCAAAAUUCUCAGCCAGGUGAGGAUUAGCCAAUCCAUGGUUUUGUGUAGAUUAGAUGUCUCACAGGUCAAUUUAUAUAUGACUAGUUGAAUGCCCGUACGUUGUCACGGGAAUAUAUAACAAUAUGGCUUGAGUUUAA
This 795-nucleotide long non-coding RNA is filed under the name Hordeum vulgare. Its description in RNAcentral is "long non-coding RNA (HVUL_LNC000744)". The record is from RNAcentral. Lineage: Eukaryota; Viridiplantae; Streptophyta; Magnoliopsida; Poales; Poaceae.